CUGGAGCCUGCCCUGCUGUAGGUACGGGAAAGGGCGUUUGACGUUUCGAUUGAGUGUAGCAAAAUGGCGCUGAAAGCCGUGGUUGGACAAAAAAUUAUGAAUGAAGUCAUUCGUAACAAGAAAAAGGGACAAGGUAUUGAGUGGCGAGUUCUAGUUGUUGAUCAGCUUGCCAUGAGGAUGGUGUCAGCAUGCUGUAAAAUGCAUGAAAUAUCUGCUGAAGGUAUCACAAUUGUGGAGGAUAUAAAUAAAAAGAGAGAACCUCUGUCUACAAUGGAGGCCGUGUACUUGAUCACACCAAGUGAAAAAUCUGUACACGCAUUAAUGCAGGACUUCGCCAGUCCUAAUCGCACCAUGUAUCGUGCUGCCCAUGUGUAUUUCACUGAAGCAUGCCCAGAGGAGCUGUUUAACAAAUUGUGUCGUGCAACUGUUGCGAAGUUCAUAAAAACUUUGAAGGAAAUUAAUAUUGCAUUUGUAGCAUACGAGGAACAGGUAUUUUCUCUGGAUUCACCUGAUACAUUUCAAUGCUUCUACAAUCCCUCCUGUGCUGGUGGUCGAAAUGCAAACAUGGAACGUAUUGCUGAACAAAUAGCAACCUUGUGUGCUACUCUUGGAGAGUACCCGUCAGUCAGAUAUCGAUGUGAUUUUGACAAGAAUGUUGAAUUAGCCCAACUAGUUCAACAGAAAUUAGAUGCAUAUAAGGCAGAUGAACCUACAAUGGGUGAAGGACCAGAAAAAGCUCGUUCCCAGCUUUUGAUUUUGGAUAGAGGAUUCGACUGUGUCUCACCAUUACUUCAUGAACUAACACUGCAAGCAAUGGCAUAUGAUUUACUGCCAAUAGAAAAUGAUGUCUAUAAGUAUGAAGCAACAGCAGGGGCACCAGAAAAAGAGGUGCUGCUGGAUGAAAAUGAUGAAUUGUGGGUUGGGCUCAGACAUCAACACAUUGCUGUUGUUUCACAGAAUGUUACAAAGAAUCUCAAGAAGUUCAUUGAUUCCAAACGAAUGCCACAGGGUGAUAAGCAGUCAAUGAGGGACCUAUCACAGAUGAUAAAGAAGAUGCCACAAUACCAGAAAGAGUUAAGCAAGUACUCAACACAUCUUCACUUGGCUGAAGACUGUAUGAAAGCUUAUCAAGGCUAUGUAGACAAACUGUGCAAAGUAGAACAGGAUCUUGCAAUGGGCACUGAUGCAGAAGGAGAGAGGAUAAAAGAUCACAUGCGAAAUAUAGUGCCUGUGCUUCUUGAUCAAGGUGUGACGAAUUAUGAUAAAAUGCGUAUUAUUCUGCUUUAUAUAAUAUCAAAGAAUGGCAUAAGCGAAGAGAACCUUAACAAACUUGUCCAACAUGCCCAAAUUAAUCCAUCUGAAAAGCAGACCAUUAUUAAUAUGGCCAACUUGGGUGUUAAUGUUGUUGUUGAUGGGACACGCAAGAAAUUCUACCAGGUUCCCCGGAAAGAACGUAUUACUGAACAAACAUACCAAAUGUCACGUUGGACACCAGUCAUCAAGGACAUAAUGGAAGAAUGUAUUGAAGAUAAAUUGGAUCCUAAACAUUUUCCAUUUUUGGCAGGAAGAGCUGCUCCAUCUGGCUACCAUCCACCAACAAGUGCGAGGUAUGGCCAUUGGCAUAAAGAUAAAGGUCAACAAGCUGUAAAGAAUGUUCCUCGUCUAAUUGUCUUCAUUGUUGGUGGUGUGUGCUUCUCAGAAAUACGCUGUGCUUAUGAAGUAACCAACACUGUAAAGAACUGGGAAGUCAUUAUUGGCUCUUCUCACAUUAUGACGCCAGAGGACUUCCUCAGUAAUCUUACGAAUUUGAGCUAAUCUGUUAGCACAGUAUAUCUAGCCUGCCCAAAAAGGUUAGCAUGUGUGUUUCUGCCGAAAUAGGAACUUUAUGUUGAUGGGGUGAAAAGUCACCAGAUCUAUCAAUAUUAUGUGAAAGAUAAAUGUAAUUCCAGUGUUAGGAUUUGUACUCAAGUCUGUAUUGUAGUCAGUUGCCUUAAAACAAGAGCUCUGUAGCUCUUGUUGCAUUUAUCAUAUUAAAGUAUUUUUUAAGAUAGCAUACAAGUUUGUAAAAAAUUCUUGUAAUUCAUAAUUUGUGUGUGUGUGUAAAAUAUUUAGAUAACAUAAUUAUGCCAUAUACAGGCUCAUUAAUGAAAGGAAAGAAAGCUUAUAGAUAUACCAGUAUGAAUUACUUGGAUUGUAAGAUUGCUAGAAAAAAUGCCUUCAAGCAAAAUGUAGGAACUUUCAGACUUAUUUAAGUGUCCUUUUGUGCAGAGGCAGUUAAUGAAUAGUAGAGUUUGUCUUCUGCAAAGCAAAUGUCCCUUUAACCUCUCUGGUCUUUUGGGCAUUCUGACUAUAUUAACUAAAAAGCAGAAUGUGAUGAAACUUCCAUCUUGCUGUCAUUUUAAUGUAUGCAUUCUUAAUAAUGUAAUGUGUUUCUGAAAACACUUUCAAUAAGAUGAUCUGUAUGUUGUUUGAGAAUGACAUAGUCAACUUAAAUUGUUCCUUUACCAGAGGACCAAACUGUGUUAAAGAGAGACGUUCAAAAUCUUCCAUUUUCAAUAAACACCAUAGUUUUAAUAAUAGUUUUUCAAAGUUAUACUAUUUAAAGAGUGGAUUCUUUGCACAGCAAUAACUACUUAUAAGACUAAGAGGAUAAGCCUGUGUUGCUUCACUAGUACAAUAAUUGUAAGUAGAUUAUUAUUCAAACAUUUUAAAUUGCAGAUUCAUGUAAAAGCACAUUUUGUAGCUAGAUCUUCAUUUCUGUAUUGAUUAGUUCUGUCUUCAUGAGACUGCAUUUUCCUGAAGUGUCAAAUUUUGUGAGAAGCAAUGUCACAAAUCUUUCUGCCUUAUAUGUAAGCUUGUUAAUUCAUAACUGUUAUUCGAUAUAGUGUUCAGUAAAACUUGGAUGUGCUCCAGAAUCUGUAAAUUAACUGUUUCCAUAAUAGUCUUUAGUGUUGUUGUAAUACCCAUUUUUUGACAUCGAAUAUUUUUAUCUAACUUCUUAAAAAUUUGUCUUACAAGUACAGAGACAUUAUUUUUUAUUAAUAUUUCAUCAUGAUUUAUUUGGACAGUAAAAUAUGUUAAUAACUUUAUAAGCAAUACUGUGAUAGUGUAUGUUUGUGUUGAAAUGUUUGAGUUCGUGGGAAAUAAUAAACGAUGUUAUGCUUCUGCCUGUUUGGGAAUAUGUUGUCAGUCUCAUAUUUUGCAGGCAGACUUAAGUGCUGUAGUUACCUGAUUGACAGUUUAUUAGGCACACAAUUUUAUGUGAAACUUUUGUAAAUCUUCGAUAAGAAAAGGAAUAUGAAAGGUCUUCUUAAACACCAAUAUAUACUAGAGAAUCGGCUAAGCAUCAAGCAGUGGUAUUAUUGCUUGCCAUAUAAUUUAGGCAGUUGCCAUAUAAAUAAAAUUUGUGGAAUACCAUAUUAUGUACUUACAUACACAAGUACUGUAUUUUUAUUGAAACAAAAAGUGAACAGGUAUGUAAAAUGAGCUCCAGCUGGAAAGCUGGUUAUUGAUCUUUAUUUUUAAAAAAUUCUGGAUUGCUAUUUGGAAGUGCUGUCCCCCAUGUGUGGUUCUUGCACACUGCUAGACAAGAUUGAUUUAACAAACCUUUGUACCGUAUGAAAACUAAGAAGGCUACGUAAAGAAUCAUUAAACUAAAAUUUGAGAUAACCUGAAGUAAGUCUGGGAAUUAGUGUUUAAGCUAUCCCUGUAGUCCCCCCCCCCCCCCCCUCCCUCCAUCACCAGAAAAAAAAGAAAAGGGAAAAA
This 3765-nucleotide unclassified non-coding RNA is filed under the name Schistocerca americana (American grasshopper). RNAcentral's name for it is "protein ROP, transcript variant X1". Lineage: Eukaryota; Metazoa; Arthropoda; Insecta; Orthoptera; Acrididae. The record is from RNAcentral.